Long non-coding RNA from Vespa mandarinia (Asian giant hornet), 1318 nucleotides. The record is from RefSeq and is a predicted model, not a curated record. Lineage: Eukaryota; Metazoa; Arthropoda; Insecta; Hymenoptera; Vespidae.
CUACUAUUAACAUAGCUUGGCAAGAGUUGAUCGAUCGUUUGAAAUAGAUUGUUAACAUAAUCUGGCGUUGGUGUAAAACUCGGAAAUGGUUUAUAUAAAAUAUAUAUCUUUUAUUAUUAACACUAUCAACGCAAUAAUUGAUUAAAAAAAAAAGGAAAUACAGAUUCAUAUUUGAGACGCAUAAGUUGGCAAUCACUAAUCCAGUAACAGUUUCACGAUUAGAUGUCGUCCAUCUUGGAACGAUUAAUCUGGAUUCACUUCCGGUUGCCUUCAAUAUCGAGGAUUUGUCCUUUAAUGUUUGGAAAAAUAUAAAGACAUACUUAUCUAUCUGCAUCGAUGAAAUUCUCAAGACAAGCAAUUCAGUACCAUCAUUAGCUUCCGGUUUGAUUAAUUCGGUUUUGUGUUAUUUACGUAAGGCAUAUACACAGACGGUUGGUACAGAAGCACAAAUCGAAGAUAAAAACAUUAUGAAUAAUACGGCCCAUUUGAUUUAUCAAUCGAUGGAUUAUUGGUGUCCAGAUCCUGAUAAGCCAUUCGAUGUUGUUUAUAACGAAAAGUGCAGUCGAUUGUUCAUUGACAUAUAUUAAUCCAUUGAGACGGAGGACAAAUCUAUUUUACUUUCAAGACCCGUUAAAAGUCAAUUAGCAUCUAUUUUAUCUUGGAUAGAAAAUGGUUAUCCCGUUAUUUUACGAGGCCAAGAGGGAUCUGAUAAAGAAAUUGGUGAGAGAAUUACUUCAAGACAAAGGAUUUCAUCAGAAGGGUUUCGCUCAAAUUCCGUUAAAGUUAUUUUGUACUGCGGAUUGUAUUUUAUAUUGCUUUUCAUCCGAGAUUAAAAUGUCUCAUAGUUACAUAUUAUCUAUCGUUGGUUAUUUCGAUGCUUAACUAAAGCAGAACAAAAUAAAAAUCAAUGAUGACACAUCAAGAUGUUGACAAAAGUAUUGUAAGAAGAAUAAUUAUUUCAACUAAUAUAAAAAUUCGGUACGCCGUUUGAAGAACAUAUAAGUAGUAUUGAAAAUCAUAAGAGUAAAAUUAAAACAUUAAAAUAGAAAGAAAUGCAGAAAAAAUUCUCGAACAGAAUAUAAUGGCAGGAUUAGCUAAAUUAGAACAAAUGUAUACUGCAAAUCCUGACGAUGUAAGAAAUAAAAAUGGGAGUAAUCAAACUGAUAGAUUUUCACCAGCUGAGGUAAAUAAUUUUCAACCGAUGGACGCUUUUCGAUGGGAAUGAAUUUUUUUUCAAAACAAUUAAGAUUUAUUCCAGAGAAUAAAUGCUUGUCCUCUUGAGGAGAACGAGUCUGGAGGUUUCUUCCAGCUCACUCGU